This 500-nucleotide ribosomal RNA is filed under the name uncultured bacterium. Its description in RNAcentral is "bacterial SSU rRNA". It matches the Rfam family "Bacterial small subunit ribosomal RNA", at positions 355 to 865 of the family's 1533-position model. The record is from RNAcentral.
UGGGGAAUAUUGCGCAAUGGGCGAAAGCCUGACGCAGCGACGCCGCGUGAGGGAUGAAGGCCUUCGGGUUGUAAACCUCUUUCAGCAGGGAAGAAGCGCAAGUGACGGUACCUGCAGAAGAAGCACCGGCUAACUACGUGCCAGCAGCCGCGGUAAUACGUAGGGUGCAAGCGUUGUCCGGAAUUAUUGGGCGUAAAGAGCUCGUAGGCGGUUUGUCGCGUCUGCUGUGAAAAUCCAGGGCUUAACCCUGGACCUGCAGUGGGUACGGGCAGACUAGAGUGCGGUAGGGGAGAUCGGAAUUCCUGGUGUAGCGGUGAAAUGCGCAGAUAUCAGGAGGAACACCGGUGGCGAAGGCGGAUCUCUGGGCCGUAACUGACGCUGAGGAGCGAAAGCAUGGGGAGCGAACAGGAUUAGAUACCCUGGUAGUCCAUGCCGUAAACGUUGGGCGCUAGGUGUGGGGCUCAUUCCACGAGUUCUGUGCCGCAGCAAACGCAUUAAGC